CAGUCGCCACGGUAAUACGUAGGGUACAAGCGUUAAUCGGAAUUACUGGGCGUAAAGCGUGCGCAGGCGGUUAUAUAAGUCAGAUGUGAAGUCCCCGGGCUCAACCUAGGAACUGCAUUUGAAACUGUCAGGCUGGAGUCUUGUAGAGGGGGGUAGAAUUCCAGGUGUAGCGGUGAAAUGCGUAGAGAUCUGGAGGAAUACCGGUGGCGAAGGCGGCCCCCUGGACAAAGACUGACGCUCAGGUGCGAAAGCGUGGGGAGCAAACAGGAUUAGAUACCCAGUAGUCCCUGUCUCUUAUACA
Molecule: ribosomal RNA, 301 nt
Filed under: uncultured bacterium
Lineage: Bacteria
Description: partial 16S ribosomal RNA
Rfam family: Bacterial small subunit ribosomal RNA
Source: RNAcentral